AAAAAAUUUAGGGUUUUCUUCUUCUUCACCUCUCUCUUUGCCACCCCAUUUUCCCCAAAAUCCUCCAUGAAUGGUUCUUCAUUUAAGCUUACAUUUAAGCUAAAUUUUCUUCACUUAACCUUCUUAACUUCCUUAAAUACCUCACUAGAACCUUUAAUCUCAACUUAAGCACAAGAAAGAAAGAGGAAAGAAAGAGAACAAUUGAAGGCUUGGCAUUUAAAUUGAGGU
Molecule: unclassified non-coding RNA, 228 nt
Filed under: Hevea brasiliensis (rubber tree)
Lineage: Eukaryota; Viridiplantae; Streptophyta; Magnoliopsida; Malpighiales; Euphorbiaceae
Source: RNAcentral